This 602-nucleotide ribosomal RNA is filed under the name fungal sp. ARIZ L90.p. Its description in RNAcentral is "eukaryotic LSU rRNA". The stretch from base 229 to 382 matches the Rfam family "5.8S ribosomal RNA". The record is from RNAcentral. Lineage: Eukaryota; Fungi.
UGGAAGUAAAAAGUCGUAACAAGGUCUCCGUUGGUGAACCAGCGGAGGGAUCAUUACUGAGUUUACGCUCUAUAACCCUUUGUGAACAUACCUAUAACUGUUGCUUCGGCGGGUAGGGUCUCCGCGACCCUCCCGGCCUCCCGCCUCCGGGCGGGUCGGCGCCCGCCGGAGGAUAACCAAACUCUGAUUUAACGACGUUUCUUCUGAGUGGUACAAGCAAAUAAUCAAAACUUUUAACAACGGAUCUCUUGGUUCUGGCAUCGAUGAAGAACGCAGCGAAAUGCGAUAAGUAAUGUGAAUUGCAGAAUUCAGUGAAUCAUCGAAUCUUUGAACGCACAUUGCGCCCGCCAGCAUUCUGGCGGGCAUGCCUGUUCGAGCGUCAUUUCAACCCUCAAGCUCUGCUUGGUGUUGGGGCCCUACAGCUGAUGUAGGCCCUCAAAGGUAGUGGCGGACCCUCCCGGAGCCUCCUUUGCGUAGUAACUUUACGUCUCGCACUGGGAUCCGGAGGGACUCUUGCCGUAAAACCCCCCAAUUUUCCAAAGGUUGACCUCGGAUCAGGUAGGAAUACCCGCUGAACUUAAGCAUAUCAAUAAGCGGAGGAA